Molecule: non-coding RNA, 23 nt
Filed under: Cricetulus griseus (Chinese hamster)
Lineage: Eukaryota; Metazoa; Chordata; Mammalia; Rodentia; Cricetidae
Source: RNAcentral
CCAGGAGACAAGAGGAAUUACAC